AUUUCAAAAAACUUAAGGUUUAAAUACAGUAGAAGCCGCUUAUUAGAAACACGGAUUAUUGAUACAAUCGCGUUAUUGAAACAAAAUGUACCAGGACGGAUCGCCCGUAUAUUAGGACAUUUAAAUCGCUUAUUCGAAACAAUCGGUUAAUUGACACAUUUCACUUUGGUCCCAAAGUGUUUCUAAUAAGCGGCUUCUACUGUAAUUAAUAUUUAAAUAGAAAAUACGGGUUAACAAUAAUACAAUUGAUAGAAAAAUUUUUAAUGACAUUCACAAUAUCUGAUGUUAAGGCAAUUUAUAGAGUAACAAUAACAUUUAAAACAACUCGAGAGAGUUUACACAUUUCCUUUAGGUAAACAUAAUAUUGACCCGGGAGAGCUUACACAUUUCGUUCAGGUAAACAUAAAGUUUACCCUGGAAAAUUUACACAUUUCCUUCAGGUGAACAUAGAUUGACCCGGGAGAGUUUACCAUACAAUCGGGAGAGUUAACCACCGCCCAUAAUAAAUGUAAAUUAAAAAUGCUCAUAACUCACUUAUCGUUUGGUGGCGAAAUAAACCGCGCGAAACGGUGGAUGCGAAAUGAACGAGUCCGCUCGUGGUUGGUUGGCUAUAAUGUGAAGAAAAAUAGCGACCUCAGUUUUACCACAGAACUGGUUUUACGCGAGUGUUUCACCCAACCAUCCACCCACUCGUCUAUUUACCCAUGACAUUAUUAUUGUCAUGAGCAAAACCAUCAUUUUUUUUUUUUCGUCAUCGAUCAAUGGAUUAGUCGUCAUUCGUCGUCCGUCGGUCUGCUGUAACGUCUUCGCUUCGUCCACGAACAGUGAGUAAUACUGAUACGCCACAAUGUUCCCAAUCGAAUAUUACGACAAUAUUCCGGUUGUGACUGACAAUAGUACCGUUCACGACGAUAUUGGCAACACAUACUUAUCAGCCAUACAUUAAGCAAAAAUGGCAAAAUACAACUUGCACGAAAAUAAUUAUGCUGAAAUUAAAGCCUUGCUUGCAUAAUAUUAUUAAGGAAAUGAUUCAGAUUUGGAUUUGUAGCUGAAAAAUAACAAGCAGAUCAGAAUUUAAUAUGGGUCGUACGCUUGCGAUCCAUAAUGGACUACAAAAUUAAUAUUCUUAUAAUUAAUGAACAUCAAAAAUUAAACCGAAGAAAAAAAUUAAGUUACAUAACAGGAAUUUAUGAAAUAAAAAAAUUCCAAAUUGACGGAAUCAAAUACCGGCAAGUUAAGACUUUCCGGUAUUUGAUUAAAGAUGUUAAUAAACAGGACUUUGUCAAUAAAUCAAUUCUGCAGUAUGCAAAACUUAGUCAUUCUUCAUUCAGUUCCAACACAAGUAAUAAUUGACGAAUUAUUUUAUAAACACCUUAAUGACGACGGUGAGUUAAAGUUUUUAUAACCUCACAUCACUGAUAUUGAAUAAUUGUGAGUUAUUAUUGUGUAAACAAAUGAAACAAAAGUGGACAUGUGGAUGCCGCUCUGCUGUA
This is a long non-coding RNA of Acyrthosiphon pisum (pea aphid), 1493 nucleotides long. RefSeq lists it as uncharacterized. Lineage: Eukaryota; Metazoa; Arthropoda; Insecta; Hemiptera; Aphididae. The record is from RefSeq and is a predicted model, not a curated record. The transcript is spliced from 3 exons.